GAUGAACGCUGGCGGCGUGCCUAAUACAUGCAAGUCGAGCGAACGGACGAGAAGCUUGCUUCUCUGAUGUUAGCGGCGGACGGGUGAGUAACACGUGGAUAACCUACCUAUAAGACUGGGAUAACUUCGGGAAACCGUAGCUAAUACCGGAUAAUAUUUUGAACCGCAUGGUUCAAAAGUGAAAGACGGUCUUGCUGUCACUUAUAGAUGGAUCCGCGCUGCAUAGCUAGUUGGUAAGGUAACGGCUUACCAAGGCAACGAUGCAUAGCCGACCUGAGAGGGUGAUCGGCCACACUGGAACUGAGACACGGUCCAGACUCCUACGGGAGGCAGCAGUAGGGAAUCUUCCGCAAUGGGCGAAAGCCUGACGGAGCAACGCCGCGUGAGUGAUGAAGGUCUUCGGAUCGUAAAACUCUGUUAUUAGGGAAGAACAUAUGUGUAAGUAACUGUGCACAUCUUGACGGUACCUAAUCAGAAAGCCACGGCUAACUACGUG
Molecule: ribosomal RNA, 496 nt
Filed under: uncultured bacterium
Lineage: Bacteria
Description: partial 16S ribosomal RNA
Rfam family: Bacterial small subunit ribosomal RNA
Source: RNAcentral